CCUCGGACGUACGCUUGAUCUGUUAGCAUGGAAUAAUGAAAUAUGACUUUAGUCCUAUUUUCGUUGGUUUAGGUACUUCAGUAAUGAUGAAUAGAAACGGUUAGGGGCAUUUGUAUUUGGUCGCUAGAGGUGAAAUUCUUGGAUUGACCGAAGACAAACUACUGCGAAAGCAUUUGACCCGGGACGUUUUCAUUGAUCAAGGUCUAAAGUUAAGGGAUCGAAGACGAUUAGAUACCGUCGUAGUCUUAACCACAAACUAUGCCGACUAGAGAUUGGGCGUGUUUAUUAUGACUCGCUCAGCAUCUUAGCGAAAGUAAAGUUUUUGGGUUCUGGGGGGAGUAUGGGACGCAAGGCUGAAACUUAAAGAAUUUGACGGAA
This 378-nucleotide ribosomal RNA is filed under the name Rhizopus arrhizus. Its description in RNAcentral is "SSU rRNA". It matches the Rfam family "Eukaryotic small subunit ribosomal RNA", at positions 785 to 1161 of the family's 1831-position model. The record is from RNAcentral. Lineage: Eukaryota; Fungi; Mucoromycota; Mucoromycetes; Mucorales; Rhizopodaceae.